GAUGAAGAACGUAGCGAAAUGCGAUAAGUAGUGUGAAUUGCAUAAUUCAGUGAAUCAUCGAAUCUUUGAACGCACAUUGCGCCCCUUGGUAUUCCAUGGGGCAUGCCUGUUCGAGCGUCAUUUGUACCUUCAAGCUCUGCUUGGUGUUGGGUGUUUGUCUCGCCUCUGCGUGUAGACUCGCCUCAAAACAAUUGGCAGCCGGCGUAUUGAUUUCGGAGCGCAGUACAUCUCGCGCUUUGCACUCAUAACGACGACGUCCAAAAGUACAUUUUUACACUCUUGACCUCGGAUCAGGUAGGGAUACCCGCUGAACUUAAGCAUAUCAAUAAGCGGAGGA
RNAcentral lists this unclassified non-coding RNA (337 nucleotides) under soil metagenome. RNAcentral describes it as "partial contains 5.8S ribosomal RNA, internal transcribed spacer 2, and large subunit ribosomal RNA". The stretch from base 1 to 120 matches the Rfam family "5.8S ribosomal RNA", at positions 35 to 154 of the family's 154-position model. The record is from RNAcentral.